AGAGUUUGAUCCUGGCUCAGGAUGAAUGCUGGCGGCGUGCCUAACACAUGCAAGUCGAGCGAGAAACUCAUGACAGAAGCUUCGGUUGAAGUCAUGGGUGGAAAGCGGCGGACGGGUGAGUAACGCGUAGGCAACCUGCCCUUUGCAGAGGGAUAGCCUCGGGAAACCGGGAUUAAAACCUCAUGAUGCCGUGUGAAGACAUCUUCAUAUGGUCAAAGAUUUAUCGGCAAAGGAUGGGCCUGCGUCUGAUUAGCUGGUUGGUGGGGUAACGGCUCACCAAGGCAACGAUCAGUAGCCGACCUGAGAGGGUGAUCGGCCACAUUGGAACUGAGACACGGUCCAAACUCCUACGGGAGGCAGCAGUGGGGAAUAUUGCACAAUGGGGGAAACCCUGAUGCAGCAACGCCGCGUGAAGGAAGAAGGCCUUUGGGUCGUAAACUUCUGUUCUGAGGGAAGAAAGUGACGGUACCUCAGGAGCAAGUCCCGGCUAACUACGUGCCAGCAGCCGCGGUAAUACGUAGGCGGCGAGCGUUGUCCGGAAUUAUUGGGCGUAAAGGGAGCGCAGGCGGGAAGGUAAGUCUAUCUUAAAAGUGCGGGGCUCAACCCCGUGAGGGGAUGGAAACUAUCUUUCUUGAGUGCAGGAGAGGAAAGCGGAAUUCCUAGUGUAGCGGUGAAAUGCGUAGAUAUUAGGAGGAACACCAGUGGCGAAGGCGGCUUUCUGGACUGUAACUGACGCUGAGGCUCGAAAGCGUGGGGAGCGAACAGGAUUAGAUACCCUGGUAGUCCACGCCGUAAACGAUGAAUGCUAGGUGUAGGAGGUAUCGACCCCUUCUGUGCCGGAGUUAACGCAAUAAGCAUUCCGCCUGGGGAGUACGGCCGCAAGGCUGAAACUCAAAGGAAUUGACGGGGGCCCGCACAAGCGGUGGAGUAUGUGGUUUAAUUCGACGCAACGCGAAGAACCUUACCAGGGCUUGACAUUGAGUGAAAGGACAAGAGAUUGUCCCCUCUCUUCGGAGACACGAAAACAGGUGGUGCAUGGCUGUCGUCAGCUCGUGUCGUGAGAUGUUGGGUUAAGUCCCGCAACGAGCGCAACCCUUAUCCUUUGUUGCCAGCACGUUAUGGUGGGAACUCAAAGGAGACUGCCGCGGACAACGCGGAGGAAGGCGGGGAUGACGUCAAGUCAUCAUGCCCCUUAUGUCCUGGGCUACACACGUACUACAAUGGGAUGGACAGAGAGCAGCGAAGCCGCGAGGCCAAGCGAACCCCAUAAACCAUCUCCCAGUUCGGAUUGCAGGCUGCAACCCGCCUGCAUGAAGUUGGAAUCGCUAGUAAUCGCAGGUCAGCAUACUGCGGUGAAUACGUUCCCGGGCCUUGUACACACCGCCCGUCACACCACGGAAGUCAUUCACACCCGAAGCCGGCAGGCUAACCUUCUGGAGGCAGCCGUCUAAGGUGGGGGCGAUGACUGGGGUGAAGUCGUAACAAGGUA
RNAcentral lists this ribosomal RNA (1489 nucleotides) under metagenome. Its description in RNAcentral is "bacterial SSU rRNA". It matches the Rfam family "Bacterial small subunit ribosomal RNA". The record is from RNAcentral.